UACGUAGGGUGCGAGCGUUAAUCGGAAUUACUGGGCGUAAAGCGUGCGCAGGCGGUUUUGUAAGCCAGAUGUGAAAUCCCCGGGCUUAACCUGGGAAUGGCAUUUGGGACUGCAAGGCUGGAGUGUGGCAGAGGAGACUGGAAUUCCUGGUGUAGCAGUGAAAUGCGUAGAUAUCGAGAGGAACACCUGCGGCGAAGGCGGGGUUGCUGGGCUGAUACUGACGCUGGAGGC
This 231-nucleotide ribosomal RNA is filed under the name uncultured bacterium. Its description in RNAcentral is "partial 16S ribosomal RNA". It matches the Rfam family "Bacterial small subunit ribosomal RNA", at positions 524 to 752 of the family's 1533-position model. The record is from RNAcentral.